Molecule: long non-coding RNA, 852 nt
Organism: Salarias fasciatus (jewelled blenny)
Lineage: Eukaryota; Metazoa; Chordata; Actinopteri; Blenniiformes; Blenniidae
Exons: 2
Source: RefSeq, a predicted model, not a curated record
AGAACAUACCGUUUGGAAUCAUUUAGUAAGUAUUCAUGGACAAAAUAUAAUUCACAUCAGUCUGUAAUUCAGAUACCUUUUAGGCCAGCAGAGAAGGCCUUGCAGGCCCUGACGGCCCACCACUGGAUCUAGCAAUUGUGACACUUGUAAACUGUCAGACCAGGUGUGCACUCUUCGUGGGCCCAUUGUUCACAUUUAAUACAUUGCACCCACACCUCCGCAGGCUGUGAUUUUGUUGUUUUUAUUUAGUAUUUAUUAAUAUGCAGUGCAUUUUAUUCAUUUGUGUUUUUGAAUGGACUGGCCACUUUACCUGACACAUCCCCACAAUCCCUCCAAUCACUGAGCGCCCUGCGUAAUCAGUGCACCUGUGUGCGCUGAUCAGAGGGAUAUAAAGAGGAGACGACAGCACACGUGAGGUGUGCUCCAGAGACUCUGCAGUGGGUGGAAGCUUCAAGGGAGGACGGCACGCACACACAGCGGAUCAGGACCACGCUGGGACCGCCAGUGCUCCAACGCGAUGUACAUGCAGAGGCAGGGGAAACCCUGCCUGGCCCGGUUCCAGACCCAGCCCGGAGGGAGCUCGGCGAGCAGGCGGGUGUGUGACGUCAUACCCCCACGCAUCGAAGCAGAGGAAGACGCCGCCUUCGUGGGGAGACCUGCCACGCGUGACCGAGGGAUCCCCGGACUGGAUCCCAGGAGCAGCACAGAGGACCUUGGAGCUUAGAGACCGACAUUUGUUUUUUUUAUUUAUUCUUUUAGAUAUAGCCCCAUUUGUUUUAUUGAGCUGACUGACUGAACUGACUGAAUUUUAUUUGUGGGCUGGACUGAUUUUAAUAUAAUUUAUUAGAGCGA